UGGGGAAUUUUGGACAAUGGGGGCAACCCUGAUCCAGCAAUGCCGCGUGUGUGAAGAAGGCCUUCGGGUUGUAAAGCACUUUUGUCCGGAAAGAAAACGCCGUGGUUAAUACCCGUGGCGGAUGACGGUACCGGAAGAAUAAGCACCGGCUAACUACGUGCCAGCAGCCGCGGUAAUACGUAGGGUGCAAGCGUUAAUCGGAAUUACUGGGCGUAAAGCGUGCGCAGGCGGUCCGCUAAGACAGAUGUGAAAUCCCCGGGCUUAACCUGGGAACUGCAUUUGUGACUGGCGGGCUAGAGUAUGGCAGAGGGGGGUAGAAUUCCACGUGUAGCAGUGAAAUGCGUAGAGAUGUGGAGGAAUACCGAUGGCGAAGGCAGCCCCCUGGGCCAAUACUGACGCUCAUGCACGAAAGCGUGGGGAGCAAACAGGAUUAGAUACCCUGGUAGUCCACGCCCUAAACGAUGUCAACUAGUUGUCGGGUCUUCAUUGACUUGGUAACGUAGCUAACGCGUGAAGUUGACCGCCUGGGNGUACGGUCGCAAGAUUAAAACUCAAAUGAAUUGACGGGGUC
This 571-nucleotide ribosomal RNA is filed under the name uncultured bacterium. RNAcentral's name for it is "partial 16S ribosomal RNA". It matches the Rfam family "Bacterial small subunit ribosomal RNA", at positions 355 to 920 of the family's 1533-position model. The record is from RNAcentral.